UCAGCGCCGAUGGUAGUCGGGUAGAUCCCCGUGAGAGUAGGACGCUGCCAAGCCUAAUUAAAUCCGGAGGAUUAGC
RNAcentral lists this transfer RNA (76 nucleotides) under Halobacillus sp. BAB-2008. Its description in RNAcentral is "tRNA-Val". The record is from RNAcentral. Lineage: Bacteria; Bacillati; Bacillota; Bacilli; Caryophanales; Bacillaceae.